This 508-nucleotide ribosomal RNA is filed under the name uncultured Verrucomicrobiota bacterium. Its description in RNAcentral is "bacterial SSU rRNA". It matches the Rfam family "Bacterial small subunit ribosomal RNA", at positions 355 to 856 of the family's 1533-position model. Lineage: Bacteria; Pseudomonadati; Verrucomicrobiota. The record is from RNAcentral.
UCGAGAAUUUUUCACAAUGGGCGCAAGCCUGAUGGAGCGACGCCGCGUGGGGGAUGAAUGGCUUCGGCCCGUAAACCCCUGUCAUUUGCGAUCAAACCUCGUUAUUUAAAAGAUGACGAGCUGAUGGUAGCGGAAGAGGAAGGGACGGCUAACUCUGUGCCAGCAGCCGCGGUAAUACAGAGGUCCCAAGCGUUGUUCGGAUUCACUGGGCGUAAAGGGUGCGUAGGUGGUGGGGUAAGUCGGAUGUGAAAGCUCGGAGCUCAACUCCGAAAUGGCAUUGGAAACUACCCUGCUGGAGGGUCGGAGGGGGGACUGGAAUUCUCGGUGUAGCAGUGAAAUGCGUAGAUAUCGAGAGGAACACCAGUGGCGAAGGCGAGUCCCUGGACGACGCCUGACACUGAGGCACGAAAGCUAGGGGAGCAAACAGGAUUAGAUACCCUGGUAGUCCUAGCCGUAAACGGUGCACGUUUGCUGUAAAGGAAUCGACCCCUUUUGUGGCGAAGCUAAC